GAGAUUACCCCCCGUACCUUUUGCAUCAUGAUUUAGCCAGUAUCUUACCAGGCAGAGAGAACUUUAGUUUGGACCCCCGAAACUACGUGAGCUACUCCAAGACAGCCUAUUAUAUAGGGCAAACCCGUCUCUGUGGCAAAAGAGUGGGAAGAGCUUUGAGUAGAGGUGAUAAACCUACCGAACCUAGUUAUAGCUGGUUGCCUGAGAAUUGGAUAGGAGUUCAGCCUCCAGGCUUCUUUCUUCACCAUAAUUCACCCUUACCGAUAUAUAAGAAACCUAGAGAGUUAAUCAAAGGGGGUACAGCCCCUUUGAGACAAGACACAACUUUUCCAGGAGGGUAAGGAUCAUAUUUAAUUAAGGUAAUAAUGCUUAAGUAGGCCCGAAAGCAGCCACCUUACCAGAAAGCGUUAAAGCUCGAACAUUACACCUCAUCCACAUAUUUUGAUAAUCAAACCCUAACCCCCUAACAUUACCAGGCCAUCCCAUGCAAACAUGGGAGUAUUUAUGCUAAUAUGAGUAACAAGAGAGCAUACGCCUCUCUCCUUGCACACGUGUAUAUC
This 560-nucleotide ribosomal RNA is filed under the name Scomberomorus niphonius (Japanese Spanish mackerel). RNAcentral describes it as "partial 16S ribosomal RNA". It matches the Rfam family "Bacterial large subunit ribosomal RNA", at positions 588 to 1355 of the family's 2925-position model. Lineage: Eukaryota; Metazoa; Chordata; Actinopteri; Scombriformes; Scombridae. The record is from RNAcentral.